UAACACAUGCAAGUCGAGCGGUAGCACAGAGAGCUUGCUCUCGGGUGACGAGCGGCGGACGGGUGAGUAAUGUCUGGGAAACUGCCUGAUGGAGGGGGAUAACUACUGGAAACGGUAGCUAAUACCGCAUAACGUCGCAAGACCAAAGUGGGGGACCUUCGGGCCUCAUGCCAUCAGAUGUGCCCAGAUGGGAUUAGCUAGUAGGUGGGGUAAUGGCUCACCUAGGCGACGAUCCCUAGCUGGUCUGAGAGGAUGACCAGCCACACUGGAACUGAGACACGGUCCAGACUCCUACGGGAGGCAGCAGUGGGGAAUAUUGCACAAUGGGCGCAAGCCUGAUGCAGCCAUGCCGCGUGUAUGAAGAAGGCCUUCGGGUUGUAAAGUACUUUCAGCGAGGAGGAAGGCAUUAAGGUUAAUAACCUUAGUGAUUGACGUUACUCGCAGAAGAAGCACCGGCUAACUCCGUGCCAGCAGCCGCGGUAAUACGGAGGGUGCAAGCGUUAAUCGGAAUUACUGGGCGU
This 521-nucleotide ribosomal RNA is filed under the name earthworm cast bacterium C4D1. RNAcentral's name for it is "bacterial SSU rRNA". It matches the Rfam family "Bacterial small subunit ribosomal RNA", at positions 49 to 561 of the family's 1533-position model. The record is from RNAcentral.